AUACGGAGGGUGCAAGCGUUAUCCGGAUUUACUGGGUUUAAAGGGUGUGUAGGCGGACCAUUAAGUCAGCGGUGAAAUCUCCGGGCUCAACCCGGAAACUGCCAUUGAUACUAUUGGUCUUGAAUGUUGUGGAGGUGGGCGGAACGGGUCAUGUAGCGGUGAAAUGCAUAGAUAUGACCCGGAACACCGAUUGCGAAGGCAGCCCGCUACGCAACGAUUGACGCUGAGGCACGAAAGCGUGGGGAUCAAACAGGAUUAGAUACCCUGGUAGUCCACGCCCUAAACGAUGAUUACUCGACGUGCGCGAUACACUGUGCGCGUCCAAGCGAAAGCAUUAAGUAAUCCACCUGGGAAGUACGUUCGCAAGAAUGAA
Molecule: ribosomal RNA, 373 nt
Filed under: uncultured bacterium
Lineage: Bacteria
Description: bacterial SSU rRNA
Rfam family: Bacterial small subunit ribosomal RNA
Source: RNAcentral